Molecule: ribosomal RNA, 615 nt
Filed under: uncultured bacterium
Lineage: Bacteria
Description: bacterial SSU rRNA
Rfam family: Bacterial small subunit ribosomal RNA
Source: RNAcentral
AGAGUUUGAUCCUGGCUCAGAUUGAACGCUGGCGGCAUGCCUUACACAUGCAAGUCGAACGGCAGCACGGGAGCAAUCCUGGUGGCGAGUGGCGAACGGGUGAGUAAUAUAUCGGAACGUGCCCAGUCGUGGGGGAUAACGCAGCGAAAGCUGUGCUAAUACCGCAUACGAUCUCUGGAUGAAAGCGGGGGACUCGCAAGAGCCUCGCGCGAUUGGAGCGGCCGAUAUCAGAUUAGCUAGUUGGUGGGGUAAAGGCCCACCAAGGCGACGAUCUGUAGCUGGUCUGAGAGGACGACCAGCCACACUGGAACUGAGACACGGUCCAGACUCCUACGGGAGGCAGCAGUGGGGAAUUUUGGACAAUGGGCGCAAGCCUGAUCCAGCAAUGCCGCGUGCAGGAUGAAGGCCUUCGGGUUGUAAACUGCUUUUGUACGGAACGAAAAGGUCUGCCUUAAUACGGUGGGCCCAUGACGGUACCGUAAGAAUAAGCACCGGCUAACUACGUGCCAGCAGCCGCGGUAAUACGUAGGGUGCGAGCGUUAAUCGGAAUUACUGGGCGUAAAGCGUGCGCAGGCGGUUAUAUAAGACAGAUGUGAAAUCCCCGGGCUCAACCUG